AGAGAGACCGGACCAGCCGCCAUGUUGAAGCUCAGGAGCUGCUGCGGGCCGAGGCUUCGGCGCUCGUGAAGCUGAGAAGUGGCGUGGUGAGAAUGGUGAGUCAGAGGAUGUAGGGGUUGAUAACCUAGAGCACUGACUGGGACUGGACGGAGACUACACUGGGGAUGGGCAGGGCCGUGGGACCGGCGAUGGCCUCGCGAGUCGGCGUGAGUUGCACAGGGCCUCACGCCUUUCCCUCAGCUUUUUACCCGGGGACCCAGGAAGUCGCUUCACUUCUGGGCGCGAAGGAAACCUUAGAUUGUUCCUAGCGGGACAAUCUGGGCAGAAGGUGUCUUUGUUGUGUUCCGGGGGCCGGGGACGGCGGGCCUCGCGCCAGGUUGGACAAGAAGCCGGCUUGCACCCGGUGAGUGGGGCUAAACCUAGGUUAAUUUUUUUGUCGUGUUGUCAUUUUUCCCCUCUAUCCCUCAUGCCCUCUUCCUCAGGUGUCUGACCUCCCCCACCCACCGCGCGCGCGCGCGUCCUUCUCUCUCCCCCUCCCUCUGUCCCUCUCUCUCCCCCCCCUCCCUUCCUCCCUCUCCCCCCUCCCCCCAUAAUAAUUUGCAAAGGGCCUCAAAGAAAUCAUUGGUAGAUAACUGAGCGUGAAGGGUUGUAUCUUUGUUCCCGAAAAUAAGAAAGUCAAGGAGCUACCAAAAGAAGUUAGUACCUAAUCUUUCUUACCCACCAGCGAAAGUAAAAGACAUUAAAAAGGGACUGCAAGUGAGCAAUCUUACUCAGGAUAAAUGCUGAAUGAACUAUGCUAAAAUACUUCGGAUACUCAGAGUUGGUAACCAUGCAUCACCAACUUACCCUUUCUUCCUUUGUUAGUAUAUAUUAACAAAAUAAUGCAAAACAAUUAUUUCGUUGUGACAUCUUAAUGCAGAUAACCUUAGUUAAUGCAUUAACCAACCCCUUCCAUUACCCACUUUGGUACCCAACCAAUUAAAGUGCAUUCAGUGUCUUCUUUGGCAUAUUUCAAAUGUAUGAUUACUUCAAGAACUUCUGAGUCCUUUUAUUUGUUCAGCAUCUCAAAUUAUCUGUUUCCCUCAGUUGCAUAACUAAAGCAGUACUGUGUGUUUGUUUUUCAGAUUCUGAAGUUCACUAUGGAAAGAUGGGAAAUUUUGCUUCCUACCUAGGGUCUAUGAAGAGUUAAAAAUGCUGAUAAGCAUAACUUGUGUUGUUUAUUCUCUUUUGCAUUUAAAUUUGAAAACUGAGUUCUGCACAGGAGAUGUAGCUCGGUGGUGAGGAUUCACCUAGCAUACUCAAGGCUCUGGUUGGAUGCCCAGCACCGGUUUGUUUGCUUCAGUGAAAAUACACGCUAUGCCUCUCUUAGAAGUUAAUAAAAUUCAACGGGUAAAUAUAUCUUCCUUUCAAAACACUAAGCACAUUGGUUUUUAAAUUGCCAAAACACAGUGGGAACAGUCAAAGGUGUAUGCAGAUGAUGGCAGUUAAAAAAAGCUUUCCAAGAUUCAUCUUACGUUGUGAAAAGAAGCCAGGAGAGUGGCAAAAGCCAUUCUUGCAUAAAUUCAACCAUCUAAAAGCAUCAGAAAUAUUGCUGUUCUUCUGCCUGGAAUGAUGGUAAGUACUAGAAAGGAAACAAAGUGCUUACCAUUUCCUUUCUGCCCUUAGGUUUAACUGUAGGGUUUAGGCUAAUGAAUCUUUAUAAGACAUUUAUAUGAGCAAUAAUCUUAGUUUGAGUUACUGUGGAAGACUGAUUUAUUGAAAGAAAAAUAACAGAUUGUUUAGAAAUAGUGUGAAAAAUGGGACCAAUAUAAUAUAAUGGAUUCUAUAAUUUGUCAUGUUAUUGAGUGCUUUGAAGUGUUUUAGCCUUAAAUAUAAUGGAUACUCAACCAUAAAUGUGUGGUAAAAAAUAAUUGGUAUAUUUUAGAAAGACUGUACAAGUUAAGUCUUGAAUAGGAAAAAAAUUUUUCAUGUUCUUUAGAAACAUAAGGCAAGAAAAGGAAAACAUUUUACCAGGGGAAAAAUGUAUUUUCAGACCUCCUCUUUUUUAAGGAAAAUGUUUCCCAUAGUGUACAUUUCCCUAAGUGGACACAGAUGGACAUACCAUUUGGAUUUGGCUACUGUGGGUUUGUUUUUUGUUUGUUUGUUUGUAACAAUCUUUUAAUUCAUUCCAGAUAAUAAGAAAACUUAUUUCUCAUAUUUUAGACAUUCUUAACUUUAAUUGACAAUAGUUAGGAAACGAAAGUCUCAGGUUAGUACCAUAGCUGUGGUAUUUGUAACAGUUUGACAUAGAUUUUGCUUCAGGAUUUACUAUCUGGCUUAAGGUAAAUGCAGCAAAUGUCUCAGGGUCAAAUUUAAAGUCUAGCUAGGCAGUAGUGGCACACACCUUAAUCCCAGCACAGGAGGCAGCUCAAGGCCAGCCUGGUCUAGAGACGAAAUUCCAGGAUGGCCGGGCUACACAGAGAAACCUUGCCUCUAAACUUAAAUAAAUAAAAGUCUAAAUGACUUCAAAUUAUUUUACCUAGAAAAGCAUCUACCACCUUUUUUCUCUUUUACCAUCUUAUUUCUCAGAUUUUAACAGGUUUGGACAAUUAAAGGGACACAUAGAACAUGUCUUUGCAAGAAGAUAUGCUGAUAAACCUUGUUGGUGAACAUAACCAUUUCAGGAAAUUUAGAUCCAAUACAGGUGUCUGGAACAUGUGGGCGUGGCUGUAUCUAGUGGACCUGGUACAUGCAUACUACAAGCUUGCCAAAAACACGGAGAAAGAAGAGCAAUAUUAGAGUAUAUUCAAUUCAAGGAGCAUCAUGGAGACAGUACAUGGCAAUACUCUGCUCAGUAAAUAAGCUCGGAGUUGUUUCUAAUGUAAGAAUAUCUUAGCAUCCUAAGGUUAUAUUCUCAACAGAAAACAAAUAUUGACAUAUUUAGCUAUGAUUUUCAGUACUUGAUACAGGAAUUACCAUAGUUUUGAAAUUUAAGCUCAAAUCCAGGCCAUGCAGGUAACUGAGCAGGUAAACCUGAGUUUGAAUCCCAGAACCCACUGUACAAGGACCUCAUGAAAGUUGUCCUCUGACCAUGUGUCUGCCAACCUGAACUCACGCACAUAUACAUUAUACACUAACAAUUAAAAACAAGUCUGCCUGGCAGUAUCUGUUAACAAGGAAAGGAGGUGAGAAUACAACUGAUUGGUUCAACCUAAAGUCCACUACUCAAUCAGGAGGACACAAAAAGAAAAUUGCAUUCUUGAGUAUUUCCACUCUCUGCAUAUAACCCAAAGAGGUGCAGCAACAAUUGUCAAACAGACCUGGUGACAAAAGGCAUACCAUCUGCAUGGUUUCAUAAACAGCAGGACUUGGGAAGUUGGGGGCUUAGAGCUAACUUAUAGAUACCAAACCCAUGUCUCAGAAAAUAAAUCCUGGUUGCUGGGAUUAAAGUGUAAUCAUCCAACUCUACUCCAAGAAAAAUAGUUGCAAAAUUUUUGGAGCUUGUGCUUAUACCUCACAAUUCAACAGUUCUUAAUCCCUCCAUACACAAAUAUGUUUUCAUAUGCUUGUCCUGAAGGAAAAGCAAUUUAGGCAGAAACAUUCUUUGGACAAGAAAAAUAAUAAAGGUGAAGAAUGAUUCCCAAGCCCCUCUGAUCCACAAAGGUAGCCCUAGAUCAGUGUCUGAUUUUCGACUGAAAAUAAGUACCAAGCCAGGCAAUGGUCAUGCAUGACUUUAAUCCCAGCACUUGGGAGGCAGAGGCAAGCAGAUCUCAGUGAGCUUGAGACCAGCCUCGUCUACAGAGCUAGUUCCAGGACAGCCAGGGCUGUUACACAGAGAAAUGCUGUCUCAAAAACAAAGUGAGUACCUGACACUAAAGCCUGACCCUGUCAGUACUGAUACAAUUUGCUGUGAGUGGUCCUUAGUGACAAAAACAUGUAUAUCUAUAAUGCCCAGUGCUCAGGCCGGUGAGCACAUUGUAGUGCACACAUGGACACUGUUACUGUAAACUCCAAGAGCUUGGGCUGGAGAGAUGGCUUAGAGGUUAAGAACACUGGCUGCUCUUGAGUUCAAUUCCCAACAACCACAUGGUGGCUCACUCCAAGAACUUGAAUGCUGCAUUGAUACUGAUCCUAAGCACAUAGAAGAAAGGACAUGUGACCAAUUAUUUCCCUUUCAGAGCAGUUACCUACUUGGGUCAUAUGGUACAGUAAAUACAGUGGAUAAGUCACAAUCUCAAAAUAAUGACUUUGAGACACGGUUUUACAUUGUAGCCCAGGUUGGCCUCAAACUUGGCGAUCCAAUCCGUUUGCCCCUGAAUUCUAGUAAUUUUUUUUUAAUGAGCGUUUACAUUUUAUGUGUAUGUAGGCUGGAGGAUAUGUGUGUAAGUGCUGAUGUUGGAGGAGGCCAAAGCUCUCCCUGGAAGUUAAGGUACUAUGAGAUACCUAACUUGCGUGCUGGAACCCAAACUCCUGCCCACUGCUAGAGCAGCGUUGUUUGUUGUUUUUUUUUUCGAGACAGGGUUUCUCUGUAGCUUUGGAGCCUGUCCUGGAACUCACUGGGUAGCCCAGGCUGGCCUCAAA
This is a long non-coding RNA of Peromyscus leucopus (white-footed mouse), 4560 nucleotides long. RefSeq lists it as uncharacterized. The transcript is spliced from 3 exons. The record is from RefSeq and is a predicted model, not a curated record. Lineage: Eukaryota; Metazoa; Chordata; Mammalia; Rodentia; Cricetidae.